GACGAACGCUGGCGGCGUGCUUAACACAUGCAAGUCGAACGGUGAAGCUCCAGCUUGCUGGAGUGGAUCAGUGGCGAACGGGUGAGUAACACGUGAGCAACCUGCCCCUGACUCUGGAAUAAGCGCUGGAAACGGCGUCUAAUACUGGAUACGAGAAGGGUCCGCAUGGGCACUUUCUGGAAAGUUUUUCGGUUGGGGAUGGGCUCGCGGCCUAUCAGCUUGUUGGUGAGGUAAUGGCUCACCAAGGCGACGACGGGUAGCCGGUCUGAGAGGGCGACCGGCCACACUGGGACUGAGACACGGCCCAGACUCCUACGGGAGGCAGCAGUGGGGAAUAUUGCACAAUGGGCGAAAGCCUGAUGCAGCGACGCCGCGUGAGGGAUGACGGCCUUCGGGUUGUAAACCUCUUUCAGCAGGGAAGAAGCGAAAGUGACGGUACCUGCAGAAGAAGCACCGGCUAACUACGUG
This 468-nucleotide ribosomal RNA is filed under the name uncultured bacterium. RNAcentral's name for it is "partial 16S ribosomal RNA". It matches the Rfam family "Bacterial small subunit ribosomal RNA", at positions 28 to 507 of the family's 1533-position model. The record is from RNAcentral.